Molecule: ribosomal RNA, 464 nt
Filed under: uncultured bacterium
Lineage: Bacteria
Description: bacterial SSU rRNA
Rfam family: Bacterial small subunit ribosomal RNA
Source: RNAcentral
GUGAACGCUGGCGGCGUGCCUAAGACAUGCAAGUCGUACGAGAAAGUGGCUUCGGCCAUGAGUACAGUGGCGCACGGGUGAGUAGCACUUGGGUAACAUGCCCUUCUGAGGGGGAUAACCGGAGGAAACUCUGGCUAAUACCGCGUACGUCGGUAGGAACUGCGGUUCUUAUCGAGAAAGCCGUAAGGCGCAGAAGGAGUGGCCCGAGUCUCAUUAGCUUGUUGGUAGGGUAGCGGCCUACCAAGGCAGUGAUGGGUAGCUGGUCUGAGAGGAUGAUCAGCCACACUGGUACUGGAACACGGACCAGACUCCUACGGGAGGCAGCAGUUAGGAAUCUUGCGCAAUGGGGGAAACCCUGACGCAGCAACGCCGCGUGAGUGAGGAAGGCCUUCGGGUUGUAAAGCUCUUUCGACAGGGAAGAAAAAAAUGACGGUACCUGUAGAAGAAGCACCGGCUAACUCCGU